Molecule: ribosomal RNA, 727 nt
Filed under: Rhagada abbasi
Lineage: Eukaryota; Metazoa; Mollusca; Gastropoda; Stylommatophora; Camaenidae
Description: partial 16S ribosomal RNA
Rfam family: Archaeal large subunit ribosomal RNA (bases 339-491)
Source: RNAcentral
CGGAAGCUAUAUGAGCUAAAGGUAGUAUAUUAUAGUGUUUAACGUGUUGCAUAACUUACCAGAAUGGCCUUUAGGGGUGAUAGACCUAACAAAUAUUGCGAUAUCUUGUUUAUCUUUAAACUUAUUUAGUAAAACAACAGACCAGGAGUGCUAAUAUUACUGGUAAGUAUCAACUGAUAAAAGAAGUUAUUAUCUAGUAUAAAAACACAUAAGCAAUAGUUAUAAUAUUAAUCUUUUUCGAUUAUUAAUAAUAAGGGUAAAUAUUACAACAAAAAUUAAUACUUAUUAUGUUAAUAUUAGUAAAUAUUUAAGUAUGCUAAAUGAACUCGGCUAAAAUUUCUCGACUGUUUAUCAAAAACAUAGCCAAAUGUAAUUAUAUUUGGUAAUUUCUGCUCAAUGAUAUAUUUAAUAGCCGCAGUACCCUGACUGUGCAAAGGUAGCAUAAUCAAUUGGCUUAUAAUUAAAGUCUGGAAUGAAAGGACACACGGGGAGUUACUGUAUCUAGUACUUAUAGUGAAAUUGAUUUUCAAGUGCAAAUACUUGUAAUUAAUUGUUAGACGAGAAGACCCUGGAAAUUUGCAUAACUGUUUAGUUGGGGCAACGUAGUAGGAGUAACCUACAGUAAAGGACAAGAAAAAAAUUUGAUAGAAAAAAUUACUCCAGGGAUAACAGCAUAAUUCAUAAGAGUUUGUGACCUCGAUGUUGGAUUUGGGAACUAUCGUUUAAA